AAAUCCGUCGACUUUAUAAGCGUGAGGGUUCAAGUCCCUCUAUCCCCAAAC
This 51-nucleotide transfer RNA is filed under the name Stipagrostis ciliata var. capensis. RNAcentral describes it as "partial tRNA-Leu". The record is from RNAcentral. Lineage: Eukaryota; Viridiplantae; Streptophyta; Magnoliopsida; Poales; Poaceae.